This 152-nucleotide ribosomal RNA is filed under the name Helianthus annuus (common sunflower). RNAcentral's name for it is "5.8S ribosomal RNA". It matches the Rfam family "5.8S ribosomal RNA". Rfam says of the family: 5.8S ribosomal RNA (5.8S rRNA) is a component of the large subunit of the eukaryotic ribosome. It is transcribed by RNA polymerase I as part of the 45S precursor that also contains 18S and 28S rRNA. Lineage: Eukaryota; Viridiplantae; Streptophyta; Magnoliopsida; Asterales; Asteraceae. The record is from RNAcentral.
GACUAUCGGGAACGGAUAUCUCGGCUCACGCAUCGAUGAAGAACGUAGCAAAAUGCGAUACUUGGUGUGAAUUGUAGAAUCCCAUGAACGAUCGAGUUUUUGAACGCAAGUUGCGCCCGAAGCCAUCCGGUUGAGGGCACGUCCGUGAGUCA